UACGAGGGGGGCUAGCGUUGCUCGGAUUUACUGGGCGUAAAGGGCGCGUAGGCGGACAGUUAAGUUGGGGGUGAAAGCCCGGGGCUCAACCUCGGAAUUGCCUUCGAUACUGGCUGUCUUGAGUGUGAGAGAGGUGUGUGGAACUCCGAGUGUAGAGGUGAAAUUCGUAGAUAUUCGGAAGAACACCAGUGGCGAAGGCGACACACUGGCUCACUACUGACGCUGAGGCGCGAAAGCGUGGGGAGCAAACAGG
This 253-nucleotide ribosomal RNA is filed under the name uncultured bacterium. Its description in RNAcentral is "partial 16S ribosomal RNA". It matches the Rfam family "Bacterial small subunit ribosomal RNA", at positions 524 to 776 of the family's 1533-position model. The record is from RNAcentral.